CCUACGGGGGGCAGCAGUGAGGAAUAUUGGUCAAUGGGCGAGAGCCUGAACCAGCCAUCCCGCGUGCAGGAUGACAGCCCUAUGGGUUGUAAACUGCUUUUCCACGCCAAGAAACGGCUCUACGUGUAGGGCACUGACGGUAGCGUGGGAAUAAGCAUCGGCUAACUCCGUGCCAGCAGCCGCGGUAAUACGGAGGAUGCAAGCGUUAUCCGGAUUCAUUGGGUUUAAAGGGUGCGCAGGCGGGCUUUUAAGUCAGUGGUGAAAAGCUGCCGCUUAACGGUAGUCUUGCCAUUGAUACUGAGAGUCUUGAGUUUGGAUGAGGUAGGCGGAAUGUGCAGUGUAGCGGUGAAAUGCAUAGAGAUUGCACAGAACACCGAUUGCGAAGGCAGCUUACUAAUCCACGACUGACGCUGAGGCACGAAAGCGUGGGGAUCAAACAGGAUUAGAUACCCCGGUAGUC
Molecule: ribosomal RNA, 460 nt
Filed under: uncultured Bacteroidota bacterium
Lineage: Bacteria; Pseudomonadati; Bacteroidota
Description: bacterial SSU rRNA
Rfam family: Bacterial small subunit ribosomal RNA
Source: RNAcentral